This 1448-nucleotide ribosomal RNA is filed under the name uncultured organism. Its description in RNAcentral is "SSU rRNA". It matches the Rfam family "Bacterial small subunit ribosomal RNA". The record is from RNAcentral.
UCAGGAUGAACGCUAGCUACAGGCUUAACACAUGCAAGUCGAGGGGCAGCAUUUUAGUUUGCUUGCAAACUAAAGAUGGCGACCGGCGCACGGGUGAGUAACACGUAUCCAACCUGCCUAUAACUCGGGGAUAGCCUUUCGAAAGAAAGAUUAAUAUCCGAUGGUAUAUUAAAACCGCAUGGUUUUACUAUUAAAGAAUUUCGGUUAUCGAUGGGGAUGCGUUCCAUUAGUUUGUUGGCGGGGUAACGGCCCACCAAGACUACGAUGGAUAGGGGUUCUGAGAGGAAGGUCCCCCACAUUGGAACUGAGACACGGUCCAAACUCCUACGGGAGGCAGCAGUGAGGAAUAUUGGUCAAUGGACGAGAGUCUGAACCAGCCAAGUAGCGUGAAGGAUGACUGCCCUAUGGGUUGUAAACUUCUUUUAUAUGGGAAUAAAGUAUUCCACGUGUGGAAUUUUGUAUGUACCAUAUGAAUAAGGAUCGGCUAACUCCGUGCCAGCAGCCGCGGUAAUACGGAGGAUCCGAGCGUUAUCCGGAUUUAUUGGGUUUAAAGGGAGCGUAGGUGGAUUGUUAAGUCAGUUGUGAAAGUUUGCGGCUCAACCGUAAAAUUGCAGUUGAAACUGGCAGUCUUGAGUACAGUAGAGGUGGGCGGAAUUCGUGGUGUAGCGGUGAAAUGCUUAGAUAUCACGAAGAACUCCGAUUGCGAAGGCAGCUCACCAGACUGCAACUGACACUGAUGCUCGAAAGUGUGGGUAUCAAACAGGAUUAGAUACCCUGGUAGUCCACACAGUAAACGAUGAAUACUCGCUGUUUGCGAUAUACAGUAAGCGGCCAAGCGAAAGCAUUAAGUAUUCCACCUGGGGAGUACGCCGGCAACGGUGAAACUCAAAGGAAUUGACGGGGGCCCGCACAAGCGGAGGAACAUGUGGUUUAAUUCGAUGAUACGCGAGGAACCUUACCCGGGCUUAAAUUGCAUUUGAAUAAUCUGGAAACAGGUUAGCCGCAAGGCAAAUGUGAAGGUGCUGCAUGGUUGUCGUCAGCUCGUGCCGUGAGGUGUUGGGUUAAGUCCCGCAACGAGCGCAACCCUUACUGUCAGUUACUACGCAAGAGGACUCUGGCAGGACUGCCGUUGACAAAACGGAGGAAGGUGGGGAUGACGUCAAAUCAUCAUGCCCUUUAUGACUUGGGCUACACACGUACUACAAUGGCGUUAAACAAAGAGAAGCAAGACCGCGAGGUGGAGCAAAACUCAGAAACAACGUCCCAGUUCGGACUGCAGGCUGCAACUCGCCUGCACGAAGUCGGAAUUGCUAGUAAUCGUGGAUCAGCAUGCCACGGUGAAUACGUUCCCGGGCCUUGUACACACCGCCCGUCACACCAUGAGAGCCGGGGGGACCCGAAGUCGGUAGUCUAACCGCAAGGAGGACGCCGCCGAAGGUAAAACUGGA